UCUUGGAAGGAUAUGGACUUCCUUCUCACGCACAAGACUUCUCACACCCCAAAAUUUUUCUCCAAAAAUUUUCUUCUUGCAUGCCCCACUCUUCUCCUCCUUUUAUAAUAACGUCAAAUGUCUUAUCCAAAAGAAAGGAUAAAGAUGAGUAAUUGCACAUUUGAAUUCAAAUCAAAUUUUAAAUUCAAAUGGACACCAACUCAUCCCUUAUCCACUAAAGGUGUGAGGUGUAGCUUAAAUUGUGCAUGGAGUGAUUUCAUGAGAAAUCUUUUCUCAUAUAAUAAAUGAGGCAUAAAAAAAGGGAUAAGGUGCAAAGAUUGAUUGCCCAUUCAAAUUCAAACUUUAUUUUGAAUUUGAAUAGCCAACCAAUCAUCCUUAUCCAUCCAUUUGGCACAUUAAAGUGGGGCGUGGAGAGGGCUUGGCGUGAGAAAAAAAUUCAUGAGAAGUUCCUUCUCAUGAAUCCAAAUGGGUGCAAUGGAAGUGAGGUGGCGCAUGG
RNAcentral lists this long non-coding RNA (496 nucleotides) under Elaeis guineensis (African oil palm). RNAcentral describes it as "long non-coding RNA (EGUI_LNC068833)". Lineage: Eukaryota; Viridiplantae; Streptophyta; Magnoliopsida; Arecales; Arecaceae. The record is from RNAcentral.